CAGUAGCCGCGGUAAUACGAAGGGGGCUAGCGUUGCUCGGAAUGACUGGGCGUAAAGGGCGCGUAGGCGGUUUAUACAGUCAGAUGUGAAAUUCCUGGGCUCAACCUGGGGACUGCAUUUGAUACGUAUGGACUUGAGUGGAGAAGAGGGUUGUGGAAUUUCCAGUGUAGAGGUGAAAUUCGUAGAUAUUGGAAAGAACACCGGUGGCGAAGGCGGCAACCUGGUCUUCAACUGACGCUGAGGCACGAAAGCUAGGGGAGCAAACAGGAUUAGAUACCCCAGUAGUCCCUGUCUCUUAUAC
RNAcentral lists this ribosomal RNA (301 nucleotides) under uncultured bacterium. RNAcentral describes it as "partial 16S ribosomal RNA". It matches the Rfam family "Bacterial small subunit ribosomal RNA", at positions 509 to 807 of the family's 1533-position model. The record is from RNAcentral.